AAAUUUCUGGGAAAAAAGAUAAAACGACUUAGACGCAAGCGUCGUUGUUCGUUUUCCUAUUUUUCUAGAAAUUU
This 74-nucleotide non-coding RNA is filed under the name Streptococcus agalactiae COH1. Lineage: Bacteria; Bacillati; Bacillota; Bacilli; Lactobacillales; Streptococcaceae. The record is from RNAcentral.